UAGUAUGGGGAUCUGCCUGAUAGAGGGGGAUAACUACUGGAAACGGUGGCUAAUACCGCAUAAUGUCUACGGACCAAAGCAGGGGCUCUUCGGACCUUGCACUAUCGGAUGAACCCAUAUGGGAUUAGCUAGUAGGUGGGGUAAAGGCUCACCUAGGCGACGAUCUCUAGCUGGUCUGAGAGGAUGAUCAGCCACACUGGGACUGAGACACGGCCCAG
Molecule: ribosomal RNA, 218 nt
Filed under: uncultured bacterium
Lineage: Bacteria
Description: partial 16S ribosomal RNA
Rfam family: Bacterial small subunit ribosomal RNA
Source: RNAcentral